Molecule: ribosomal RNA, 486 nt
Filed under: Pasteurellaceae bacterium canine oral taxon 080
Lineage: Bacteria; Pseudomonadati; Pseudomonadota; Gammaproteobacteria; Pasteurellales; Pasteurellaceae
Description: bacterial SSU rRNA
Rfam family: Bacterial small subunit ribosomal RNA
Source: RNAcentral
GAGUUUGAUUAUGGCUCAGAUUGAACGCUGGCGGCAGGCUUAACACAUGCAAGUCGAACGGUAGCAGGAGAAAGCUUGCUUUCUUGCUGACGAGUGGCGGACGGGUGAGUAAUGCUUGGGAAUCUGGCUUAUGGAGGGGGAUAACUACUGGAAACGGUAGCUAAUACCGCGUAAUAUCGAGAGAUUAAAGACUGGGACCUACGGGCCAGUUGCCAUAAGAUGAGCCCAAGUGGGAUUAGGUAGUUGGUGGGGUAAAGGCCUACCAAGCCCGCGAUCUCUAGCUGGUCUGAGAGGAUGACCAGCCACACUGGAACUGAGACACGGUCCAGACUCCUACGGGAGGCAGCAGUGGGGAAUAUUGCACAAUGGGGGGAACCCUGAUGCAGCCAUGCCGCGUGAAUGAAGAAGGCCUUCGGGUUGUAAAGUUCUUUCGGUGGUGAGGAAGGUAUCAACUUUAAUAGAGUUGGUAAUUGACGUAUCCACAGA